RNAcentral lists this microRNA (23 nucleotides) under Gallus gallus (chicken). RNAcentral's name for it is "Gga-Mir-1677-P4_3p (mature (guide))". The record is from RNAcentral. Lineage: Eukaryota; Metazoa; Chordata; Aves; Galliformes; Phasianidae.
UUGACUUAAAUAGGAGCAGAAUU